UGGGGAAUAUUGGGCAAUGGGCGAAAGCCUGACCCAGCAACGCCGCGUGAAUGAUGAAGGCCUUCGGGUUGUAAAAUUCUUUGGACAGGGACGAAGAAAGUGACGGUACCUGUAGAACAAGCCACGGCUAACUACGUGCCAGCAGCCGCGGUAAUACGGGGGAUGCGAGCGUUAUCCGGAAUUAUUGGGUUUAAAGGGUGCGCAGGUGGCUAAUCAGGUCAGUGGUGAAAAGCUAUGGCUCAACCAUGGUCUUGCCAUUGAAACCGUAUAGCUAGAGAGGAGACGAGGUAGGCGGAAUGUGUGGUGUAGCGGUGAAAUGCAUAGAUAUCACACAGAACUCCGAUUGCGAAGGCAGCUUACCAGGCUUUAUCUGACACUUAGGCACGACAGCGUGGGGAUCAAACAGG
RNAcentral lists this ribosomal RNA (407 nucleotides) under Verrucomicrobiota bacterium. RNAcentral's name for it is "Verrucomicrobia bacterium partial 16S ribosomal RNA". It matches the Rfam family "Bacterial small subunit ribosomal RNA", at positions 355 to 776 of the family's 1533-position model. Lineage: Bacteria; Pseudomonadati; Verrucomicrobiota. The record is from RNAcentral.